Molecule: ribosomal RNA, 497 nt
Filed under: uncultured bacterium
Lineage: Bacteria
Description: partial 16S ribosomal RNA
Rfam family: Bacterial small subunit ribosomal RNA
Source: RNAcentral
GAUGAACGCUGGCGGCGUGCCUAAUACAUGCAAGUCGAGCGAACAGACGAGGAGCUUGCUCCUCUGACGUUAGCGGCGGACGGGUGAGUAACACGUGGAUAACCUACCUAUAAGACUGGGAUAACUUCGGGAAACCGGAGCUAAUACCGGAUAAUAUAUUGAACCGCAUGGUUCAAUAGUGAAAGACGGUUUUGCUGUCACUUAUAGAUGGAUCCGCGCCGCAUUAGCUAGUUGGUAAGGUAACGGCUUACCAAGGCAACGAUGCGUAGCCGACCUGAGAGGGUGAUCGGCCACACUGGAACUGAGACACGGUCCAGACUCCUACGGGAGGCAGCAGUAGGGAAUCGUCCGCAAUGGGCGAAAGCCUGACGGAGCAACGCCGCGUGAGUGAUGAAGGUCUUCGGAUCGUAAAACUCUGUUAUUAGGGAAGAACAAAUGUGUAAGUAACUAUGCACGUAUUGACGGUACCUAAUCAGAAAGCCACGGCUAACUACGUG